Molecule: ribosomal RNA, 586 nt
Filed under: Leptolyngbya sp. OF29
Lineage: Bacteria; Bacillati; Cyanobacteriota; Cyanophyceae; Leptolyngbyales; Leptolyngbyaceae
Description: bacterial SSU rRNA
Rfam family: Bacterial small subunit ribosomal RNA
Source: RNAcentral
GAGGGGGAUAACGACUAGAAAUGGUCGCUAAUACCCCAUAUGCCUAAGGGUGAAAAGAGAUUUGCCUGAAGAUGAGCUCGCGUCAGAUUAGCUAGUUGGUGGGGUAAGGGCCUACCAAGGCGACGAUCUGUAGCUGGUCUGAGAGGAUGAUCAGCCACACUGGGACUGAGACACGGCCCAGACUCCUACGGGAGGCAGCAGUGGGGAAUUUUCCGCAAUGGGCGAAAGCCUGACGGAGCAAGACCGCGUGAGGGAUGAAGGCCUAAUGGUUGUAAACCUCUUUUCUCUAGGAAGAUGAUGACGGUACUAGAGGAAUCAGCCUCGGCUAACUCCGUGCCAGCAGCCGCGGUAAUACGGAGGAGGCAAGCGUUAUCCGGAAUUAUUGGGCGUAAAGCGUCCGUAGGUGGUUGAACAAGUCAGUUGUUAAAGAGUGGGGCUUAACCCUAUAGAGGCGAUUGAAACUGUUUAACUAGAGUUAGGUAGGGGUUACGGGAAUUCCCAGUGUAGCGGUGAAAUGCGUAGAUAUUGGGAAGAACACCGGUGGCGAAAGCGCGUGACUGGGCCUUAACUGACACUGAGGGACGAA